Molecule: ribosomal RNA, 440 nt
Filed under: uncultured bacterium
Lineage: Bacteria
Description: partial 16S ribosomal RNA
Rfam family: Bacterial small subunit ribosomal RNA
Source: RNAcentral
CCUACGGGAGGCAGCAGUAGGGAAUAUUGCUCAAUGGGGGAAACCCUGAAGCAGCAACGCCGCGUGGAGGAUGAAGGUUUUCGGAUUGUAAACUCCUUUUGAUAGAGAAGAUAAUGACGGUAUCUAACGAAUAAGCACCGUCUAACUCGGUGCCAGCAGCCGCGGUAAUACGGAGGCUGCAAGCGUUACUCGGAAUCACUGGGCGUAAAGAGCGCGUAGGCGGGAUAGCAAGUCAGAUGUGAAAUCCUAUGGCUUAACCAUAGAACUGCAUUUGAAACUGUUAUUCUAGAGUAUGGGAGAGGUAGGUGGAAUGCUUGGUGUAGGGGUAAAAUCCGUAGAGAUCAAGAGGAAUACUCAUUGCGAAGGCGACCUGCUAGAACAUAACUGACGCUGAUGCGCGAAAGCGUGGGGAGCGAACAGGAUUAGAUACCCCGGUAGUC